UUGGUAGUCAACUUCUUCGUCCAUUUUUAUCGUAUUUUCAUGAUUCUUUUCUAUUGAUAACCCUUAUCCCCACAUUUUCGCUCUACUGGCUCAAUUUGUUUGACCAAUUCAUGGCCUCGAUCGAGAGUUCCUUGUUUCCUACCUUGAGGGGUCCUUAAUUCUCACUUGGUGAUCUUUGUUGUUGCCUUUGAGGGAUCCUAAUUUCUCCCUUGGAGAUACUAACUUCAUCGAGGUGGUACAAAUGACUAACUUCCAUGUCAACAACUAUUGUCCUCACCAUUGCUGCUCACGUGUUUUGUCCACGUUGUCGCUGCUCCAUUGCUGCUCAACGUGAUCUAAAAAUGGCAUCCCUUUCAAUUUGAAGAAGCUCAUUUCUCUAAAUCUGCAUGUGGUAUUAUAGGGAUUUAGUGGUGAAAUAUAUUGUUUGUUAUUUCAUAUUGUCAUACAAUAUGAUAUUAUUUUUCGUUUUGAUUUCAAAAUCAAUUUUUUUGUCACCGGGUUUUGAUGCUGAAAUGGUGUUUGUGAAAAUGCUCUAAUGAAUUAGACAGGUACUUCUAAAAUAUUAGUGGGUAUUGAGGUAAUUUAAAUUUGGGUUCAUUCAACUUCAGAGCUACUAAUUGUAUUAUUUUGUGUUUGGUUUUGUAGUGAAAUCUGAUCACUAGCUUGGUUUAAUUA
This 675-nucleotide long non-coding RNA is filed under the name Citrus sinensis (sweet orange). RNAcentral's name for it is "long non-coding RNA (CSIN_LNC004636)". The record is from RNAcentral. Lineage: Eukaryota; Viridiplantae; Streptophyta; Magnoliopsida; Sapindales; Rutaceae.